ACUGCUCAGUAACACGUGGAUAACCUACCCUAAGGAAGGGGAUAACCUCGGGAAACUGAGGAUAAUACCCUAUAGGUUACAGACGCUGGAAUGCCCUGUAACCGAAAGCUCCGGCGCCUUAGGAUGGAUCUGCGGCCGAUUAGGUUGUUGUUGGGGUAACGGCCCAACAAGCCGAUAAUCGGUACGGGUUGUGGGAGCAAGAGCCCGGAGUUGGAUUCUGAGACAUGAAUCCAGGCCCUACGGGGCGCAGCAGGCGCGAAAACUUUACAAUGCGGGAAACCGUGAUAAGGGAACCCCGAGUGCCUGUAUAUGCAGGCUGUCCAGGUGUCUAAAAAACACCUGAAGAAAGGGCCGGGCAAGACCGGUGCCAGCCGCCGCGGUAAUACCGGCGGCUCGAGUGGUGGCCACUUUUAUUGGGCUUAAAGCGUUCGUAGCUGGGUUGUUAAGUCUCUUGGGAAAUCUGACGGCUCAACCGUCAGGCGUCCAAGGGAUACUGGCAAUCUUGGAACCGGGAGAGGUGAGGGGUACUUCGGGGGUAGGAGUGAGAUCCUGUAAUCCUCGAGGGACCACCUGUGGCGAAGGCGCCUCACCAGAACGGCUUCGACAGUGAGGGACGAAAGCUGGGGGAGCAAACCGGAUUAGAUACCCGGGUAGUCCCAGCCGUAAACGAUGCGCGUUAGGUGUAUCGGUGACCACGAGUCACCGAGGUGCCGAAGGGAAACCGUGAAACGUGCCGCCUGGGAAGUACGGUCGCAAGGCUGAAACUUAAAGGAAUUGGCGGGGGAGCAC
This 789-nucleotide ribosomal RNA is filed under the name Methanoculleus sp. enrichment culture clone L35A3_28. RNAcentral's name for it is "bacterial SSU rRNA". It matches the Rfam family "Archaeal small subunit ribosomal RNA", at positions 85 to 879 of the family's 1478-position model. Lineage: Archaea; Methanobacteriati; Methanobacteriota; Methanomicrobia; Methanomicrobiales; Methanomicrobiaceae. The record is from RNAcentral.